This 235-nucleotide unclassified non-coding RNA is filed under the name Hevea brasiliensis (rubber tree). Lineage: Eukaryota; Viridiplantae; Streptophyta; Magnoliopsida; Malpighiales; Euphorbiaceae. The record is from RNAcentral.
GAGCAGCGCAAGCGGUUUAAGAAAAAUGGUCAAGGUAAUCAGUUUAAUAGAGGACAGAGUCAUCAGGGUUCUUAUCAGGGUAAUAAGCAGGGUUCUCAUUCUACAGUUGACAAUAGGGCUCAUCAAUAUGGAGUUGGUCAGGGACGUAAGCAGAGGACUCAUGCAGGGAAUGCUCGGUAUAGUUAGAUUAGCACUGGGCAUGUUUCCACUUCUUGUCAGCAUUGUGGUAAGCUAC